Molecule: ribosomal RNA, 460 nt
Filed under: uncultured bacterium
Lineage: Bacteria
Description: partial 16S ribosomal RNA
Rfam family: Bacterial small subunit ribosomal RNA
Source: RNAcentral
CCUACGGGUGGCUGCAGUGAGGAAUAUUGGUCAAUGGGCGCGAGCCUGAACCAGCCAAGUAGCGUGAAGGAUGACUGCCCUACGGGUUGUAAACUUCUUUUAUAAAGGAGUAAAGUGAGGCACGUGUGCCUGAUUGUAUGGACAUGAUGAAUAAGGAUCGGCUAACUCCGUGCCAGCAGCCGCGGUAAUACGGAGGAUCCGAGCGUUAUCCGGAUUUAUUGGGUGUAAAGGGAGCGUAGAUGGGUUGUUAAGUCAGUUGUGAAGGUUUGCGGCUCAACCGUAAAAUUGCAUUUGAUACUGGCAGCCUUGAGUGCAGGUGAGGUAGGCGGAAUUCGUGGUGUAGCGGUGAAAUGCUUAGAUAUCACGAAGAACUCCGAUUGCGAAGGCAGCUUACUAAACUGCAACUGACAUUGAUGCUCGAAAGUGUGGGUAUCAAACAGGAUUAGAUACCCGGGUAGUC